GCACUGCUGAGGAGUCUUACAAUAAGACAAAACGGCCGUCCAGUAU
Molecule: non-coding RNA, 46 nt
Organism: Schistosoma margrebowiei
Lineage: Eukaryota; Metazoa; Platyhelminthes; Trematoda; Strigeidida; Schistosomatidae
Source: Rfam